UACGUAGGGGGCUAGCGUUGUCCGGAUUUAUUGGGCGUAAAGAGCGUGUAGGCGGCUUGGCAAGUCUGCUGUGAAAACUCGAGGCUCAACCUCGAGCUGUCGGUGGAAACUGCCUGGCUAGAGUCCGGAAGAGGAGAGUGGAAUUCCUGGUGUAGCGGUGAAAUGCGCAGAUAUCAGGAAGAACACCUAUGGCGAAGGCAGCUCUCUGGGACGGUACUGACGCUGAGACGCGAAAGCGUGGGGAGCGAACAGG
This 253-nucleotide ribosomal RNA is filed under the name uncultured bacterium. Its description in RNAcentral is "partial 16S ribosomal RNA". It matches the Rfam family "Bacterial small subunit ribosomal RNA", at positions 524 to 776 of the family's 1533-position model. The record is from RNAcentral.